CUGUCGCCACUUUCCCCUUCUCCAUAAUUUAAGGAUCUCCCUUUACCAAAAUAAACUGUCCUACAUUUAAGUAGCCAAAAGUCAGAGCAGUUUCAGAAUUGUAUCUUGGUUUCAAGGCCUCAACCAACCACCGGAAGAUGAGAUAUUGACAGAUCUAGUUGACAGGGGAUGCCAGAGGGGACAGGAGAUACAACUGUCAGACUAAAGAGCCUUUCUUGACAUCCUCAUUUGUUCUGCUGUGUAAUAGCAUGGGAUCUUUCAGAGCUGUCGACAUCUGCUCCACUCUAGAGAGCUGCAGAACCAUGCCAGCAGAGCAAUAAUAAUUAUGCCCGAAUGGACUGAAAAGGAUGCAAGAAAUAAGACAAGGAAAAGUACACCCAGCGCGAUCAUGUGCUAACCUAUGAACUGGAACAGUGUAUCCAGGGCACUCCUACCUUGGUCCCACCCUGAAGGAUGAAGGUCUCUGGAAUCUGUAAUGGGACUCCUCAAGGUCCUAGAACCAUCCAGAAACCACCUUUGCACAAAUUGUAAUGGUGAGAAGACUAUGACACAGGAAAAUUAUGACAGCAAAAGAAAUCCGUCUCAACCUACUCCAUCUUGUUUUCCACCUCCAAGCUCUCCUUGUUCAUUCCAGGGCAUAGG
This is a long non-coding RNA of Cebus imitator (Panamanian white-faced capuchin), 642 nucleotides long. RefSeq lists it as uncharacterized. NCBI's taxonomy places the organism in Eukaryota, Metazoa, Chordata, Mammalia, Primates, Cebidae. The transcript has 4 exons. The record is from RefSeq and is a predicted model, not a curated record.